UAAGACGAACCGUGCGAACGUUAUUCGGAAUCACUGGGCUUAAAGCGCGUGUAGGCGGAUGGGAACGUCGGUAACUGAAAGCCCCCGGCUCAACCGGGGAAGUGGUGCCGAAACGACCCGUCUGGAGGGACGUAGGGGGACCUGGAACUUCCGGUGGAGCGGUGAAAUGCGUUGAGAUCGGAAGGAACGCCCGUGGCGAAAGCGAGGUCCUGGACGUCUGCUGACGCUGAGACGCGAAAGCUAGGGGAGCAAACGGG
This 257-nucleotide ribosomal RNA is filed under the name uncultured archaeon. RNAcentral describes it as "partial 16S ribosomal RNA". It matches the Rfam family "Bacterial small subunit ribosomal RNA", at positions 521 to 776 of the family's 1533-position model. The record is from RNAcentral.